RNAcentral lists this long non-coding RNA (651 nucleotides) under Ursus maritimus (polar bear). Its description in RNAcentral is "lncRNA (ENSUMAG00000024455.1)". Lineage: Eukaryota; Metazoa; Chordata; Mammalia; Carnivora; Ursidae. The record is from RNAcentral.
AAGGUCUACUGGGUGCCGGGCUCUGCCAUUGGUGGUUUACGUGCUUAAUUCGUUCAAAAGUCCUGCCAUCAGGUUAGUUUUCUCACCAUUUUGCAGAAGAGAAAACUGAGCCUCAGAGAGGUAGGCUGACCUGCCUGAGGCCACAGAGUGAGUGGCAGGGCCGGGGUUUGAACUCAGGGUGUCUGACACUACCAUGUGCCUUCCUGACACUGCAUAGCAUAGCUUCUUCCUAGGAAAUGGCAGGGGGGAGCCCUCCGCUGGCUGCGUCCUUGUGUGAGUCCCUUGACCUCUACUGCCUCAGUUCCCCAUCUGGGAAACCGCGUCAGGCAGGGGCGUGACAGGGAAGGCUGGCCUUUGGAGAGAUCCCUGCGGCCCUCUGGGAAGGAUGUCCUGGCUUCCUUGGACUCAGGACCAGUCCAGUGCAGACAGGUCCUGGAACAGAACAUGGAAACGAGCUCAAGCUUCCUCACCCCAUCUUACCGCAGACACUAAGGUGCUUCUCGGAGCCGGGUUUCUUUGCCGUAAAGUAAUAGAAGACGUGCUAAAGGUGAGAGAUACCGGGUAUAAACCCAGUGUCCAGAACACAGCUCCAUAAACUGGCUUGUUGUUACAGCUGUUUUGAUUAGAUUAGCUAUUUAAUCCCUCUGAGCC